Long non-coding RNA from Grus americana (Whooping crane), 346 nucleotides. RefSeq lists it as uncharacterized. The transcript is spliced from 3 exons. Lineage: Eukaryota; Metazoa; Chordata; Aves; Gruiformes; Gruidae. The record is from RefSeq and is a predicted model, not a curated record.
CGGCACGCGCCCUCGCGGCACGGACGAGGGAUGCUCGGUGUUUAAACGCGCGAGACCGAAGACUUGUGCAAACCCCGUGUGUAAGACCGUUCACUAGGAAAAAGGUACAAGGCAAAUAUUGUUAGAGAACAUCCCUUUGCCACUCUGUAAGAGUGCAGAGGUUUGAAAAUGCAAUCGUGCAGCGGGGGGGUCUCGGCACCAGUUCUUUGGUUUGGUGAGAGGCUAGUUACUCCCAAGUAACUCUUCAGGAGAACCGCCUGCACUGAACACUGCUGCGGGGAAGCGCCGCUGGAUCCCGGAGUAACACCACCGCUGCUGCCUGGCCCGCUCCUGCCUGCGUUCUAAU